RNAcentral lists this non-coding RNA (316 nucleotides) under Gracilariopsis lemaneiformis. RNAcentral also lists the same sequence under 1 other name. The record is from RNAcentral. Lineage: Eukaryota; Rhodophyta; Florideophyceae; Gracilariales; Gracilariaceae.
GGGACUGUUAGGUUUCUACAUAUAAUAUAUUAUAUAGUAUAUCAUAAAUAUAAGCUUUAUUAGUUUUAAUAAUAAAUGCUAAACAUAAUAUAUUAACUUUAUCUAAAAAAAUAGUUUAUGUAUAAAUAACUAUAAAUUUUUAUUAGAGAUCGAAUAACAUAUACCUAUAUAUUUAUUUGAUAUGUUUUAUUUAGGUGCUCUUAAGUAUAUCUUAUUUACUAUAAGAUAAGUAUAUGAUAAAUUGAUACUUUAUUUCUAUCGGAUUUAGCUAUAUAUUAUAUUAUUAUGGACGUGGGUUCAAUUCCCACCAGUUCCA